Molecule: long non-coding RNA, 763 nt
Filed under: Eucalyptus grandis
Lineage: Eukaryota; Viridiplantae; Streptophyta; Magnoliopsida; Myrtales; Myrtaceae
Description: long non-coding RNA (EGRA_LNC007846)
Source: RNAcentral
AUAUCAAGAAGAAAAAAGGCAAAUUUAUGGUGGAGUAGUUGGCACUAAGCAUCCCCCCUUGAAAUUUCAUUUGCUUCCAAUUAUAUUUUUCUUGUCUUAAAUAAGUAUAAGCUUUAUUUGGUAUUUUAGCACAUGAAGUUACAAUUGAUAUGAAAUUGCAACAAUCAAUUCAUAACAAUGAAUUAAAUGUUGAUGAUUAGCUUAUGUAGAGAAUGAUAGUAUGAGAUAGCUGAAUAAAACGUGUAUUUUGUAGGCAGUGUGGCUAGAAGGUAAUUUUAGUACAAUGGUGGAGUGCCUCACUUGUUUUUAAUUAGCGGAGCAUAGGAUUUGGGAGAUUUUUUUUAAUAUAUAUAUAUAUAUAUAUAUAUUAUUGUUCUUUGAGGUUAGGCAUAAUCAAAAGAUGCAUUUUUUUUAGUGAUUAUUUGAAUGUUGUAGAUGAUUAGAUGUAUAACUAAUAAUCCAUUUGUUGGUAGUGAAGGUGGAUUUUGAUAGUACAGUUCAUGUUGAUAGAGUGAGCAUGUCAUGUUCCAUUGUAGAAAGAAUAGGAAAACAUGAUACUUUGGUCUUCCAUCACUAUAGAAGGUCGACACCGUCUUCCUCGAAUUUUUUAAAUGUAGUUCCCGUCAUUCUUGCCGAGAUAUUCAUUCACCUCACCGGCAAUUGGCACCAAAGUGCUCGAGGCUUGCCCUUCUUUUUUGGGGCACAUGUGGCCCAAGAGCACGGGUCUGAAGUGGCACGAGCCGUUGGCCAUCCUAGCUAAAAA